This 114-nucleotide ribosomal RNA is filed under the name Larimichthys crocea (large yellow croaker). The record is from RNAcentral. Lineage: Eukaryota; Metazoa; Chordata; Actinopteri; Sciaenidae.
GCUUACGGCCAUACCACCCUGAAUGCGCCCGAUCUCGUCUGAUCGAAGCUAAGCAGGGUCACCUGGUUAGUACUUGGAUGGGAGACCGCCUGGGAAUACCAGGUGCUGUAAGCU